RNAcentral lists this ribosomal RNA (519 nucleotides) under uncultured eukaryote. RNAcentral describes it as "SSU rRNA". It matches the Rfam family "Eukaryotic small subunit ribosomal RNA", at positions 1161 to 1704 of the family's 1831-position model. The record is from RNAcentral.
AGGGCACCACCAGGAGUGGAGCCUGCGGCUUAAUUUGACUCAGCACGGGAAAACUCACCCGGCCCGGACACCGUAAGGAUUGACAGAUUGAGAGCUCUUUCUUGAUUCGGUGGGUGGUGGUGCAUGGCCGUUCUUAGUUGGUGGAGCGAUUUGUCUGGUUAAUUCCGAUAACGAACGAGACUCUAGCCUGCUAAAUAGGCAGUGGAUUAUUCGUCCACUGUACUUCUUAGAGGGACAAGCAGCGUCUAGCUGCACGAGAUUGAGCAAUAACAGGUCUGUGAUGCCCUUAGAUGUUCGGGGCUGCACGCGCGCUACACUGAAGGAAUCAACAUGCUUCUCAACCUUGGCCGGAAGGUCUAGGUAACCCGUUGAAACUCCUUCGUGAUUGGGAUAGGGAAUUGCAAUUAUUUCCCUUGAACGAGGAAUUCCCAGUAAGUGCGGGUCAUCAGCUCGCGCUGAUUACGUCCCUGCCCUUUGUACGCACCGCCCGUCGCUACUACCGAUUGGAGGUAGGGCAGA